This 253-nucleotide ribosomal RNA is filed under the name uncultured bacterium. Its description in RNAcentral is "partial 16S ribosomal RNA". It matches the Rfam family "Bacterial small subunit ribosomal RNA", at positions 524 to 776 of the family's 1533-position model. The record is from RNAcentral.
UACGUAGGUUGCAGGCGUUAAUCGGAAUUACUGGGCGUAAAGCGUGCGCAGGCGGUUUUCUAAGUCAGGUGUGAAAUCCCCGGGCUUAACCUGGGAACUGCGCUUGUAACUGGCAAGCUAGAGUGUGGCAGAGGGGGGUGGAAUUCCACGUGUAGCAGUGAAAUGCGUAGAGAUGUGGAGGAACACCGAUGGCGAAGGCAGCCCCCUGGGCUAACACUGACGCUCAUGCACGAAAGCGUGGGGAGCAAACAGG